UACGUAGGGAGCAAGCGUUGUCCGGAAUCAUUGGGCGUAAAGCGCGCGUAGGCGGCCCUGUAAGUCCGUUGUGAAAGUCAAAGGCUCAACCUUUGAAAGCCGAUGGAUACUGCAGGGCUAGAGUCCGGAAGAGGCGAGUGGAAUUCCUGGUGUAGCGGUGGAAUGCGCAGAUAUCAGGAGGAACACCGGUGGCGAAGGCGGGUCUCUGGGCCGACAUUGACGCUGAGGAGCGAAAGCGUGGGGAGCGAACAGG
RNAcentral lists this ribosomal RNA (253 nucleotides) under uncultured bacterium. RNAcentral describes it as "partial 16S ribosomal RNA". It matches the Rfam family "Bacterial small subunit ribosomal RNA", at positions 524 to 776 of the family's 1533-position model. The record is from RNAcentral.